RNAcentral lists this small RNA (105 nucleotides) under Marmota monax (woodchuck). The record is from RNAcentral. Lineage: Eukaryota; Metazoa; Chordata; Mammalia; Rodentia; Sciuridae.
GCUGGGCGUGGUGGUGCAUGCCUGUAAUCCCAGCAGCUCAGGAGGCUGAGACAGGAGGAUAUAUAUGUGUAUAUAUAUAUAUAUAUAUAUAUAUAUGCUGGUCUU